AUGGCUUGGACUUCCUGGGAGGCCAGGGAAUCCCUGAGAAGAAAAAGCCCCUCAUGCACGUGGGCGGGCGGCGGAGCAGACAUGCUGUCCCUUGCAGGCCCCUCCUGCCCCGGCUGGCUGUUCCUGCCCUGCCCGUCCAGCAGAUCGCGUUCAGGGCACCCCUCCGAGGAGGCACCGUAUCCAGCCCUCACCACCCCCUCCAAGAGUGUACGAAAGGAAUUCGCCCGGAUCCUGAGCGAUUCUGUUGUGCCCACCGUCGUCCCGGGCCUGAGACACAGCCACAGGCAGCACCGUUCAGGAGCACGCACGCACGGGGUCUCACGGGCAUCUGCGGUUGAGACAGCCUCGCAGACGCGGUCACACCUCAAGGACCUCGCAGAAGCAGACACAGAGCUACAGGGACACAGGCGCCCAGCGCCGCAGGCAGAGCUGCUCACGUGGAGACACACCCAGAAGCUGAGCAAGAGACCAAAUUACAAAGAUGCACGCCCUGAGACAAACGAGGAGGAAACUCAGAACCUAACAAACCCAUCACGCAGGCCGCGCAGGGAGAGGGAGACUGAAACACGCUGAGGUCUACAAACAAACCCACACCGACGCCCAGAGACACACCCCCCCCAACACACACACACACAUAAACCUCAGUCACGGAAGCACGCACCGUGGCACAUUCGUCCACACACAAGCCCCCACCCCAGCAUUCUCUGGGACACACCCCACGCCCUCAAGGUCACCCAUUUCGCACCCUCACUCACACUCGCAUGCGUUUGAAAGAGCCAAGCGCUAGACUGACCCACAGCAGAGAUGAAGCGGGGUCCCCGGGCCACAGAGGCCAGAGAACAUGGCAGUGGGGGCAGGAAUGGGGUGCAGCGACAUUGCAUCCCUGAGUCCGGGACGGAUGGUUUUACACUGGCGGAGCAUCAGUUGCGUUUAUCUUUAACAUGGGGUCCAACGCCUCUCCCGUGGAAUUAUGUGACCAGGCAAAAGGCAGGUACUAGAUGUUGGCUACUGUUUCCUUGUGGGCUUCUUUGGGGGCAGCCCAGGCUCUCCAACACACACACACACACACACACACACACACUCACACUCACACUCCUGGCUCCCAAUUGUUUUACUGCUAGGGAAGUUCCUCUUCAAUCUAAUCAGAGUCCUUCAUGCUGUAAACUAAGCCUAACUAUGGGACCCGAGAGGGCCAAUCCUUCCAAGGCACUUCUCUUGCUCAAUAAAAACAGCCCCCUGGAGUUCCCGUCGUGGCUC
This 1257-nucleotide long non-coding RNA is filed under the name Sus scrofa (pig). Its description in RNAcentral is "lncRNA (ENSSSCG00040044736.1)". Lineage: Eukaryota; Metazoa; Chordata; Mammalia; Artiodactyla; Suidae. The record is from RNAcentral.